This 427-nucleotide ribosomal RNA is filed under the name uncultured bacterium. RNAcentral describes it as "bacterial SSU rRNA". It matches the Rfam family "Bacterial small subunit ribosomal RNA", at positions 355 to 774 of the family's 1533-position model. The record is from RNAcentral.
UGGGGAAUAUUGGACAAUGGGCGAAAGCCUGAUCCAGCAAUGCCGCGUGCAGGAUGAAGGCCUUCGGGUUGUAAAUUGCUUUUGUACGGAACGAAACGGUCUUUUCUAAUACAGAAGGCUAAUGACGGUACCGUAAGAAUAAGCACCGGCUAACUACGUGCCAGCAGCCGCGGUAAUACGUAGGGUGCGAGCGUUAAUCGGAAUUACUGGGCGUAAAGCGUGCGCAGGCGGUUAUAUAAGACAGAUGUGAAAUCCCCGGGCUCAACCUGGGAACUGCAUUUGUGACUGCAUAGCUGGAGUGCGGCAGAGGGGGAUGGAAUUCCGCGUGUAGCAGUGAAAUGCGUAGAUAUGCGGAGGAACACCGAUGGCGAAGGCAAUCCCCUGGGCCUGCACUGACGCUCAUGCACGAAAGCGUGGGGAGCAAACA